CUUUACUGUAGCUUGGUAUUGUGCCCGGGCUUUGACUGCGCAGGAUAGGUGGGAGACUAUGAAGCUGCCCUUGUGGGGGCAGUGGAGUCAUCAGUGAGAUACCACUCUGUCAAGGCUAGAAUUCUAACCGUCUGCCGUUAUCCGGCGACGGAACAGUAUCAGGUGGGCAGUUUGACUGGGGCGGUCGCCUCCUAAAUGGUAACGGAGGCGCGCAAAGGUUCCCUCAGGCUGGUUGGAAAUCAGCCGAAGAGUGUAAAGGCAGAAGGGAGCUUGACUGCAAGAGCAACAACUCAAGCAGGGACGAAAGUCGGCCUUAGUGAUCCGACGGCGCUGAGUGGAAGGGCCGUCGCUCAACGGAUAAAAGUUA
This 367-nucleotide ribosomal RNA is filed under the name uncultured organism. RNAcentral describes it as "bacterial LSU rRNA". It matches the Rfam family "Bacterial large subunit ribosomal RNA", at positions 2099 to 2465 of the family's 2925-position model. The record is from RNAcentral.